Picea glauca (white spruce) is the source of this 45-nucleotide non-coding RNA. NCBI's taxonomy places the organism in Eukaryota, Viridiplantae, Streptophyta, Pinopsida, Pinales, Pinaceae. The record is from Rfam.
GUAAUGGUGUCUUUAGACACCAUCUUGUCUUAAAAAAAAAUUGUU